AGACUAACUUUAUCGUUCAGCCCGACAUGAUGAAUCCAGCAUGUAUGUGCAUCUUGCCUGUCCUCAUCUAGAGAGAUGCUCUCAAGAAAGACUGUAAUAUUGCUUUGGAGGGAAGUGCUUUUUAGAAUGGAGAAACCAUCCACAAGUUUUCCUGGGAACUGCAGUUAACAGAGUUACUGUUUACAGGUAAGAAUGUCCUGACUGCCCAUCAGUUCAGGUGGCG
Molecule: long non-coding RNA, 223 nt
Filed under: Dromaius novaehollandiae (emu)
Lineage: Eukaryota; Metazoa; Chordata; Aves; Casuariiformes; Dromaiidae
Description: lncRNA (ENSDNVG00000001388.1)
Source: RNAcentral